Molecule: transfer RNA, 73 nt
Filed under: Stegodyphus mimosarum
Lineage: Eukaryota; Metazoa; Arthropoda; Arachnida; Araneae; Eresidae
Rfam family: tRNA
About the family: Transfer RNA (tRNA) molecules are approximately 80 nucleotides in length. Their secondary structure includes four short double-helical elements and three loops (D, anti-codon, and T loops).
Source: Rfam by way of RNAcentral
GCCUUCGUGGUGUAAUGGUUAGCACACUGAGCCGGUAUUUCAGAGGUCCGCGGUUCGAUUCCUGGCGAAGGCA